GGAGGUAUACCCAAGUCUGGCUGAAGGGAUCGGUCUUGAAAACCGACAGGCGGGUCAAACCGCGCGUGGGUUCGAAUCCCUCUACCUCCUCCA
RNAcentral lists this transfer RNA (93 nucleotides) under Oceanobacillus piezotolerans. Its description in RNAcentral is "Oceanobacillus sp. YLB-02 tRNA-Ser". It matches the Rfam family "tRNA". Rfam says of the family: Transfer RNA (tRNA) molecules are approximately 80 nucleotides in length. Their secondary structure includes four short double-helical elements and three loops (D, anti-codon, and T loops). The record is from RNAcentral. Lineage: Bacteria; Bacillati; Bacillota; Bacilli; Caryophanales; Bacillaceae.